CGAUCGAAGAGCUUUGCUGGCGAUCAAGCUGGAGCUCUCCGACCCCGUGGGCUGGCUGAGCUCGUGGAACAGCACAAGCUCCGAUUUCUGCCAUUGGACCGGCGUGACAUGCACCCGCCGCCGGCACCCUGGCAGAGUGGCGUCGCUGGACAUAUCAUCGAGACAGCUGUCAGGCACCAUCUCUCCGGCGAUCGGCAACCUCACGUUCCUCCGGAAGCUGAACCUUGGAUCCAACAUGCUGGACGGCGAGGUGCCAGGCGCCAUCGGCCGUCUACGUCGCCUGCACUUCCUUUCUCUGUUCAACAACUUGUUAGCACUCCCUAGGAAGGGGAUCAAGAGAACUGGAAGAAGAACUCGUAGAUUGAGAUUUCGGAAGAGGACAGUGCUCGGCUGUGAUGGAGACUUGGAGAAGAAAAGAGGUAGAGACAGAGGAGCACGAAGGCUUCUCGAUAGAGUUCUGAUAUUUCUGCUUUUGAUGUCCUUUACAGAUGGCUCAGCAUGUAUUUAUAUCUCCUUAAGCUCUCAUAACCUAUAGCCUCUCUAGUACACAUGACCAUAGUCCAUCUAGUAUACCUAACAUUCCCCACUCCUUGAAAUGCGGCUUGCCCCCAAGCCGCUGACGGUGUAUGAUCAACUUCUUCGGUUGUUGAUUAGCGUCAUUGUUGAAUGCAUCACGCCUCUGCAGCCCUCCAUCUGAAAUGUGACAGCUCUUGCAACACUAGAACAACACCUGAAGCGAGCAACAUGACAGCGCGAUUACCAGG
RNAcentral lists this unclassified non-coding RNA (764 nucleotides) under Zea mays. Its description in RNAcentral is "misc RNA Zm00001eb261330". Lineage: Eukaryota; Viridiplantae; Streptophyta; Magnoliopsida; Poales; Poaceae. The record is from RNAcentral.